Molecule: long non-coding RNA, 3238 nt
Organism: Ornithodoros turicata
Lineage: Eukaryota; Metazoa; Arthropoda; Arachnida; Ixodida; Argasidae
Exons: 3
Source: RefSeq, a predicted model, not a curated record
ACAAGCGGCCGUGCUGACCCGGCGCAAGGCAUUGUGGUUAGUUGCCCACACACGUGACCCAUAAACGUCACUGCAAAACGUCAUUAAACAUGGCGUCCUCCAUGCCCGUGGCGUAUCGACACCUGAAUACGGAGACGAGCAGCGGCCCAAUAACUACCUUUCGCUUUCAAAGCAUCUUUGGAGAUAGAAGUUAUCAUACCCGUCGAAACACACAAUAGAACAUCUCACCGUGGAAGCAAUGGAUCACCAAACUGCUAGAAGAAGUACUACGUACGUCAUCGUGGCUUCUCUUCUGUUCUGGAGAACUUUCGCUGUGAUUUAUUACGUGGGAAAUGUCUAAAUACCCCAUACCCUUCAAAAUGUUGUGAAAAUGGACUCCUUGAAGGCCAGUGGUGUGCUGAAGAUGGAUUGUAAUAUAUAUAUUGUAUCGGCGAGUAGCCGUCAACGUUCAUAGGUAUGCAAAAUGUCACGGUAAAUACUCAAAUUAGGUGACAUAACGUUAUAACGUUGUUAACAAACAAUACAACUCUAAGAUAUUGCAAAAAAGACAUUCUUACCCGCUCAUAUGGGGCAGUAGCAUUGAUUAUAUGUAAAAUGAAUGAGUAUAAUGGGGCUGCAGAAUAGAUGAUGAUUAGAGAGAAACAAGAGCAUUUUGCAGGAUGAUACCUUCUCCCCUUCUGAGAGGGAACAGGCAACACAUUGAAUAUAGAUUAAUAUGUGUAGUGUGCCUACAACCCUUGCAAAGCAACUGUAUCGCAUCCUACAAAAACACACUCUCACUGUCCUUUGAAUAAUGUCAGCUUAGUGUACAUCUGACGACACCUCUGUGUAUGACGGUCAGCUGUUAAAGUUUUUGCAGCAUGAUGGAGACGUACAUCUAGAUAUUUGUGUGCAAUACCCUUGAUCAGAUGGAAAAAAUGGUUCUCUAAGGGACCUUGUUCAAGCAUGUGGGAUCCUCGAAGUGUUGAAAAUAUGUUAGUGGAAACAGUAACAUCGAGCACAUCCACUAGCAUCUUCUGCAUUAGUGCUUCAGUUGACAGUCUGGAUGCUAGCAUAGUUGAUCUAUAUACUUUUUCAGUCUUUUUGCAUACUUGGAUGACAUCCUCCGAUGGAUACACAAGCCACCCCAGACUUUUUAGACGGAUCAGUGAAUGCUGAGGAAGGCAGGAUGCUGGGGUAGAUAGUGCACUUACACACACUUCACACUUCAAGCGGUUUCGCAGAUAACGCACCACAAAUCCUGCUAUGUACGCCACGACUGUGUCGGCAUACGGUGACAAGUCUGUGGGGUCCGGUAUGUAGUCGUGGUCCAAAUUGGGUUCAAGUUCCAGAUCUUCCUCACCUAGAGUUAGCUGCCGCCGGUCUGCAGACCAGUUGAUGAUGUCCUCAGAUCGCGGCGAUGCUGCACUGGACACACCUGGAAUAUCAAGUUCGCGGCAAUGCUGUAGUGCAUCUGCAACUGAUGAGCUGAGCAGUUGGGCUGCAAGUUUGACUUUCAUUGGCUGUUUCUGCCAGUGGAGAUGUGCGGUACGUAACUUGUUGCCGGCAUGAAUUCCUUCUUUCUGCUGGAGAAGGUGCAGCUUGUCAAUGUGGUCCCAGCAUAUCCUACCGCCGUUCUCAUCCACAAAACUUUGUUUGUGACAAAGGGCAUUCCGGACAAGUUUUAACAUGUGGCACGGAUCGAGAAAGACUGCAACUGGGUUCAUGGUCACUGGAUGUGGAAAUGUAGUCUUGAGCCCAGCAUCGACAUCCAGACAGCACCCAAGGAUUCGUAGCAUUGCUACGUUUGAAGAUGCUCCGUCACAUACAGUCCACCAACGAGAAAAUAACCCAAGGGAAGCUUCCACCUGCCAUUUACAGAGACGACCAUCAGAACCAAAGCCUCUUUAGCUAUUGUGCCAUCACUGCUGGAACCCAUUCCAAUGUCUACAUAACCAUGUGAUUUUUUCCCAUCCCAUUCAACAUGUUGCCGAAUUGCCAUCUCAUCGGUCAUUGCACUGCAGAGAGUUGGAAUCUCCUUCAUUUGAUUCUCUGCUACCUUCAUUUUAAGUGCAUUCAGGGCUUCUUUGGAAAAUCCUGGUUGACCAUCAAUUGACUGAUACCAUUUUUUGAGUGUACGAGGAUGGGGCAGACAAGUGUCAAAGGUCCUUCUCACAUAUCUGUACGCCCUUGCAGAAUAAAAGUAAAGUGUAAGUGCAAAAGCACGGAGCUCUGGACUGUACUUUCUAGGGAGUGGUCGCCUUGUCUUUUUAGCUGUCUGUCUUAGCAGUAGAUCUUUGUUAGCUCCUGCUAUAUUUGAUAACACAUCCGCAUUCUCUUGCAACAGAAUAUUUUUAGCCGUCAAGUCCUGGAUGACAUUUUCUAGAUUUCCCAUUCUCCGCUUCAUACGUCGCUGUUUUUCUUGUAGGGCCUUGAUUCUUUUUUUGCUCGCAGUAUGAAGAUUUCCAAUCCGUCUCACUUCUUGCUUCAAAAAAACUUUAACUGGUGUGUCUUUCAUUGGGGAUGUUUCCUAGUGCAGUAGACAAUUCUGUAUGAGCAUGACUGAUAGGUAGGCAGAUUGCUAGUAAAUAUGAGGCUCCUAGUAACAGUACUGCAGCUCUAACAAUUAAAACAUAUUAGUCAGUCCAUUUUACGUGGACCUUACUAACACUCAAAUGUGUAUUUUCAGAUAUGCUUUGAGCUGUUCUUAUAUGAAAGGAGUUAUACCCACUUGUUUUAAAUGUUGAACUUGCAAACAACAUUGAUCCUCAACAAAUAAAUCAACUAUGCCAAUUGCCGCUCGUGGAGCAACAUUGAAGGCAAGACUAUGCCACUUUUUUAUCACCCAGUGAGCCUCUUCAUGCGUACAUUUAGGUCGGACAUUAACAGCCUCUGCUUUCGAACUGAGUCACUUACCCACCAGUAGGAUACAUGGGCAGGGAGAUAUCAACACACAUGCUGAUUGUCAAAAUUUUAUUUGUAUUCACCUGCAGAAAUUCAUUGAAUUGUCAAUGUGACAUAAGGUUAUGCAGAGUAAUCACAUCGAAACAUGCCAGAAAUGAACACAUGCAACUCAUGAACGGCAUCAUAUAAAACUUUAUUUCCACAUAAUGGCAGGAAUUCAUCAAACUCUCAGUGCCAUGCGGGGUUAGUUGAAAUAAUCAUACUGCUCCAGUUGAACAUACACAAAUCACAGCAUGCAAAUCAUGAUUCACGUCAUAUAAAAAUUUAUUUUCAUACCACUGCAGAAAUUCAUCAA